CUGGCUCAGGAUUAACGCUGGCGGCGUGCCUAAUACAUGCAAGUCGAAUGGUAGCAAUACCAUGGCGAACGGGUGAGUAACACGUAGGUAACCUGUCUUUAAGCCGAGGAUAACCAUUGGAAACGAUGGAUAAUACUGGAUAGGACAUUUGAAGGCAUCUUUAGAUGUUUAAAGAUUUAUCACUUAGGAGAGGGGCCUGCGGCGCAUUAGCUAGUUGGUGAGGUGAAGGCUUACCAAGGCGAUGAUGCGUAGCCGGACUGAGAGGUUGAACGGCCACAAUGGAACUGAGAACGGUCCAUACUCCUACGGGAGGCAGCAGUAGGGAAUUUUCGGCAAUGGGCGGAAGCCUGAACCCGAGCAACGCCGCGUGAACGAAGAAGUAUUUCGGUAUGUAAAGUUCUUUUAUUAGGGACGAAAAGACAGAUUGACGGUACCUAAUGAAUAAGCUCCGGCUAACUACGUGCCAGCAGCAGC
Molecule: ribosomal RNA, 474 nt
Filed under: uncultured bacterium
Lineage: Bacteria
Description: bacterial SSU rRNA
Rfam family: Bacterial small subunit ribosomal RNA
Source: RNAcentral